This 456-nucleotide ribosomal RNA is filed under the name uncultured bacterium. RNAcentral describes it as "bacterial SSU rRNA". It matches the Rfam family "Bacterial small subunit ribosomal RNA", at positions 340 to 786 of the family's 1533-position model. The record is from RNAcentral.
UACGGAAGGCAGCAGUGGGGAAUAUUGCACAAUGGGCGCAAGCCUGAUACAGCCAUGCCGCGUGUAUGAAAAAGGCCUUCGGGUUGUAAAGUACUUUCAGUCGUGAGGAAGGUGUUAAGGUUAAUAACCUUAGCAAUUGACGUUAGCGACAGAAGAAGCACCGGCUAACUCCGUGCCAGCAGCCGCGGUAAUACGGAGGGUGCGAGCGUUAAUCGGAAUUACUGGGCGUAAAGGGCACGCAGGCGGUUAAUUAAGUUGGAUGUGAAAUCCCCGGGCUUAACCUGGGAAUGGCAUUCAAGACUGGUUAGCUAGAGUCUUGUAGAGGGGGUAGAAUUCCAUGUGUAGCGGUGAAAUGCGUAGAGAUGUGGAGGAAUACCGGGUGGCGAAGGGCGGCCCCUGGGACAAAGACUGACGCUCAUGUGCGAAAGCGUGGGGAGCAAACAGGGAUUAGAUACC